Molecule: non-coding RNA, 21 nt
Filed under: Caenorhabditis elegans
Lineage: Eukaryota; Metazoa; Nematoda; Chromadorea; Rhabditida; Rhabditidae
Source: RNAcentral
UUCAGUUUCUAUGAAAUCAAU